This 71-nucleotide transfer RNA is filed under the name Nonomuraea thailandensis. RNAcentral describes it as "tRNA-Lys". Lineage: Bacteria; Bacillati; Actinomycetota; Actinomycetes; Streptosporangiales; Streptosporangiaceae. The record is from RNAcentral.
GCGUUAGCAUCCGGCACAAGAGCCACUGACUCUUAAUCAGCGGGUCCGGGGUUCGAGUCCCUGGCGGCGCA